CAACGCGGGAACGGCGCCGCCAUACCGGCGCCGAUGGACAGUGCCACAGAAACAUACCGCCUGAAGCCGGUUCGGCCCAAGGUAAGGGUGAAAAGGUGGUGUAAGAGACCACCGGGCAGGAUGAGAGUCCUGCCGACUAGGUAAACCCCGCCCGGAGCAAGAUCAAAUAGGGAGACGAGGGUGCGGCCCGCACCAGUCCCGUUCGCGGGAGGCGUCUCCGGGUUGAUCGCGUAGAUAAAUGACCUUAACCUGUGCAAACAGGCUUACAGAAUCCGGCUUAUGAGUCAUUCACGACG
Molecule: RNase P RNA, 296 nt
Filed under: Lentisphaerota bacterium
Lineage: Bacteria; Pseudomonadati; Lentisphaerota
Description: Lentisphaerae bacterium (anaerobic digester metagenome) partial RNase P RNA component class A
Rfam family: Bacterial RNase P class A
About the family: Ribonuclease P (RNase P) is a ubiquitous endoribonuclease, found in archaea, bacteria and eukarya as well as chloroplasts and mitochondria. Its best characterised activity is the generation of mature 5'-ends of tRNAs by cleaving the 5'-leader elements of precursor-tRNAs.
Source: RNAcentral